RNAcentral lists this ribosomal RNA (235 nucleotides) under uncultured bacterium. Its description in RNAcentral is "partial 16S ribosomal RNA". It matches the Rfam family "Bacterial small subunit ribosomal RNA", at positions 96 to 334 of the family's 1533-position model. The record is from RNAcentral.
UGGCGGACGGGUGAGUAAUGUCUGGGAAACUGCCUGGUGGAGGGGGAUAACUACUGGAAACGGUAGCUAAUACCGCAUAACGUCGCAAGACCAAAGAGGGGGACCUUCGGGCCUCUUGCCAUCGGAUGUGCCCAGAUGGGAUUAGCUAGUAGGUGGGGUAAUGGCUCACCUAGGCGACGAUCCCUAGCUGGUCUGAGAGGAUGACCAGCCACACUGGAACUGAGACACGGUCCAG